This is a long non-coding RNA of Bombus pyrosoma, 734 nucleotides long. RefSeq lists it as uncharacterized. The transcript has 2 exons. Lineage: Eukaryota; Metazoa; Arthropoda; Insecta; Hymenoptera; Apidae. The record is from RefSeq and is a predicted model, not a curated record.
UUUUUCACGGUCAAGAGUGUAGAAUUUGAAAGAUUGCUUGAAAUUGGAAAGAUGCAUUUAAUGCAUGAACGUGACAGCUUUAUGUUAUAUUAAAAUAAAUUUCAUCGUCGAUUAUUAUACUGUCUACAAUCUAUCUAGCAUAAAUAAUUUUUAUUUAAUCCAACUCAAUACGCGUGUUUUAGAUAAUGCCAGUUACACAUUCUUGGAUUCACAACAUUGCAUCAUGUUACACUUGAAUUUUUUACCGACCACGUGUCGCACUGGCACGAAACUUCUCGGACCACGCCCACUCCAAAGCAUUUUUUGUCUAGACGUUGUGUCGAAGGGAUAGGACACAAUUGUCGCGAUCCAAGAAGAUAAUUGAGCAAGGGCCAAGGACAUAAAGAAUGGUGCGUUCAUUGUGUCAUGAUCUGUUGCAUAAUUGUUCAAAUAUGUUCGUUUACCAGUUACAUAAAGACCAAAGUAAAUGGAUCUACAAAAUGCAUUUAAAAUAUUUCAUUCACAUCACCACGCUAUGAGAUUAUAAAUAAAUUUUUAUUGUCACGAUAUCUAUUUGUACGUUGUCCUUUCAUCUAUCGUCAAACACUUAUUUGGAGAUAGAAUCAAAAGUAAUCGUAGGUUGAGUUUUGUAAAAUACAGGGCACCUAGUGUAUAAUGUAAGAAAUAAAGAAUCAAGUUGAAAUAUUUAAAUGUAUAAAUUCGUUCAAUAGACGGUCAAUACUUUUGAGACUGAU